UGGCCCAGAUCGUUUACCGUGAAAAAAUUAGAGUGUUCAAAGCAGGCAGAUCCAAUUUUCUGCCACCGAAUACAUUAGCAUGGGAUAAUGGAAUAGGACCCUGUCCUCCUAUUUUCAGUUGGUUUUGGCAGCGCGAGGACUAGGGUAAUGAUUAAUAGGGAUAGUUGGGGGCAUUAAUAUUUAAUUGUCAGAGGUGAAAUUCUUGGAUUUAUGAAAGAUUAACUUCUGCGAAAGCAUCUGCCAAGGAUGUUUUCAUUAAUCAAGAACGAAAGUUAGGGGAUCGAAGACGAUCAGAUACCGUCGUAGUCUUAACCAUAAACGAUGCCGACCAGCGAUUAGGAGACGUUGAAUACAAAACACCACCAUCGGCGCGGCCGUCCUUGGCCGUGCGUCUCGUUUCGGCGAGGCGUUUGGCGGGGGCGGCUAGCCCA
Molecule: ribosomal RNA, 431 nt
Filed under: uncultured Acanthamoeba
Lineage: Eukaryota; Discosea; Longamoebia; Acanthamoebidae
Description: SSU rRNA
Rfam family: Eukaryotic small subunit ribosomal RNA
Source: RNAcentral